GGCUGGUCUGAUGGCAGUGGGUUAUCAGAACUUAUUAACAUUAGUGUCACUAAAGUUGGUAUACCACCCCCCCACUGCUAAAUUUGACUGUCUGUA
Cavia aperea (Brazilian guinea pig) is the source of this 96-nucleotide unclassified non-coding RNA. It matches the Rfam family "Y RNA". Rfam says of the family: Y RNAs are components of the Ro ribonucleoprotein particle (Ro RNP), in association with Ro60 and La proteins. The Y RNAs and Ro60 and La proteins are well conserved, but the function of the Ro RNP is not known. Lineage: Eukaryota; Metazoa; Chordata; Mammalia; Rodentia; Caviidae. The record is from Ensembl.